GCGAAAGUAAAAAAGGGCGCAUGGCGGAUGCCUUGGCUCACGGAGGCGAUGAAGGACGUGAUAAGCUGCGAUAAGCUUUGGGUAGGUGCAAAUGACCUUUGAUCCAGAGAUUUCCGAAUGGGACAACCCAAUAGCCUGAAGGGCUAUUAUCUCAAAUCAGUUUUGAGAGGCGAACGGAGGGAACUGAAACAUCUUAGUACCUCCAGGAGAAGAAAACAACAGUGAUUCCCCCAGUAGUGGCGAGCGACCGGGGAGUAGCCCAAACCGUCGUUGUGGCGACGCAAUGUCGGGGUAGUAGGACCACGGCGUGGUACUCAGAUGUAGAGUAGAAUGUUCUGGAAAGUUCAAUCAGAGAAGGUGACAAUCCUGUAUACGAAUACGAAUGAGUCCUAGUGGUAUCCUGAGUAACGCGGGACACGAGUAAUCCUGCGCGAAUCUGCCGGGCCCAUCCGGCAAGGCUAAAUACUCCCGUGAGACCGAUAGUGUACGAGUACCGUGAGGGAAAGGUGAAAAGCACCCCUAUUAGGGGAGUGAAAGAGUACCUGAAACCAUGCGCCUACAAGCGGUCGGAGCCUUUUUAUGAGGUGACGGCGUGCCUUUUGCAUAAUGAACCUACGAGUUGCCAUGUCCAGCGAGGUUAAGAAUGACGACAUUCCGAGCCGCAGUGAAAGCGAGGCUGAAUAGGCCGUCCAGUUGGAUGGGGCAGACGCGAAACCGAGUGAUCUACACAUGUCCAGGCUGAAGUCCCGGUAACACGGGAUGGAGGGCCGCACCAAUAAGCGUUGAAAAGCUUCUGGAUGAGGUGUGUGUAGGAGUGAAAGGCCAAUCAAACUCGGAGAUAGCUCGUACUCCCCGAAAGGCAUUUAGGUGCCGCGUGCUGUGUUUGCCGUGAGAGGUAGAGCGACCGAUUGGAUGCGAGGGCUUCGCCGCCUAUCAAGUCCAGACGAACUCCGAAUGCUCACGGCCUGUAGCCGUGCAGUAAGGGUGCGGGUGCUAAGGUCCGUGCCCGAGAGGAGAAGAAUCCAGACCGCCGUCUAAGGUCCCUGAGUUCUGCCUGAGUUAGUCUAAC
This 1069-nucleotide ribosomal RNA is filed under the name Prevotella sp. RNAcentral's name for it is "partial 23S ribosomal RNA". It matches the Rfam family "Bacterial large subunit ribosomal RNA", at positions 1 to 1071 of the family's 2925-position model. Lineage: Bacteria; Pseudomonadati; Bacteroidota; Bacteroidia; Bacteroidales; Prevotellaceae. The record is from RNAcentral.